GGGUUGUGAGGUUAAGCGACUAAGCGUACACGGUGGAUGCCCUGGCAGUCAGAGGCGAUGAAGGACGUGCUAAUCUGCGAUAAGCGUCGGUAAGGUGAUAUGAACCGUUAUAACCGGCGAUUUCCGAAUGGGGAAACCCAGUGUGAUUCGUCACACUAUCAUUAACUGAAUCCAUAGGUUAAUGAGGCGAACCGGGGGAACUGAAACAUCUAAGUACCCCGAGGAAAAGAAAUCAACCGAGAUUCCCCCAGUAGCGGCGAGCGAACGGGGAGSAGCCCAGAGCCUGAAUCAGUGUGUGUGUUAGUGGAAGCGUCUGGAAAGGCGCGCGAUACAGGGUGACAGCCCCGUACACAAAAAUGCACAURCUGUGAGCUCGAUGAGUAGGGCGGGACACGUGGUAUCCUGUCUGAAUAUGGGGGGACCAUCCUCCAAGGCUAAAUACUCCUGACUGACCGAUAGUGAACCAGUACCGUGAGGGAAAGGCGAAAAGAACCCCGGCGAGGGGAGUGAAAAAGAACCUGAAACCGUGUACGUACAAGCAGUGGGAGCCUCUUWAUGGGGUGACUGCGUACCUUUUGUAUAAUGGGUCAGCGACUUAUAUUCUGUAGCAAGGUUAACCGAAUAGGGGAGCCGAAGGGAAACCGAGUCUUAACUGGGCGUUAAGUUGCAGGGUAUAGACCCGAAACCCGGUGAUCUAGCCAUGGGCAGGUUGAAGGUUGGGUAACACUAACUGGAGGACCGAACCGACUAAUGUUGAAAAAUUAGCGGAUGACUUGUGGCUGGGGGUGAAAGGCCAAUCAAACCGGGAGAUAGCUGGUUCUCCCCGAAAGCUAUUUAGGUAGCGCCUCGUGAAUUCAUCUCCGGGGGUAGAGCACUGUUUCGGCAAGGGGGUCAUCCCGACUUACCAACCCGAUGCAAACUGCGAAUACCGGAGAAUGUUAUCACGGGAGACACACGGCGGGUGCUAACGUCCGUCGUGAAGAGGGAAACAACCCAGACCGCCAGCUAAGGUCCCAAAGUCAUGGUUAAGUGGGAAACGAUGUGGGAAGGCCCAGACAGCCAGGAUGUUGGCUUAGAAGCAGCCAUCAUUUAAAGAAAGCGUAAUAGCUCACUGGUCGAGUCGGCCUGCGCGGAAGAUGUAACGGGGCUAAACCAUGCACCGAAGCUGCGGCAGCGACRCUUAUGYGUUGUUGGGUAGGGGAGCGUUCUGUAAGCCUGCGAAGGUGUACUGUGAGGUAUGCUGGAGGUAUCAGAAGUGCGAAUGCUGACAUAAGUAACGAUAAAGCGGGUGAAAAGCCCGCUCGCCGGAAGACCAAGGGUUCCUGUCCAACGUUAAUCGGGGCAGGGUGAGUCGACCCCUAAGGCGAGGCCGAAAGGCGUAGUCGAUGGGAAACAGGUUAAUAUUCCUGUACUUGGUGUUACUGCGAAGGGGGGACGGAGAAGGCUAUGUUGGCCGGGCGACGGUUGUCCCGGUUUAAGCGUGUAGGCUGGUUUUCCAGGCAAAUCCGGAAAAUCAAGGCUGAGGCGUGAUGACGAGGCACUACGGUGCUGAAGCAACAAAUGCCCUGCUUCCAGGAAAAGCCUCUAAGCAUCAGGUAACAUCAAAUCGUACCCCAAACCGACACAGGUGGUCAGGUAGAGAAUACCAAGGCGCUUGAGAGAACUCGGGUGAAGGAACUAGGCAAAAUGGUGCCGUAACUUCGGGAGAAGGCACGCUGAUA
Molecule: ribosomal RNA, 1721 nt
Filed under: Escherichia coli
Lineage: Bacteria; Pseudomonadati; Pseudomonadota; Gammaproteobacteria; Enterobacterales; Enterobacteriaceae
Description: partial 23S ribosomal RNA
Rfam family: Bacterial large subunit ribosomal RNA
Source: RNAcentral